CACGUAGGGCGCGAGCGUUGUCCGGAAUUAUUGGGCGUAAAGAGCUUGUAGGCGGUCUGUCGCGUCUGCUGUGAAAAUCCGGGGCUCAACCCCGGACUUGCAGUGGGUACGGGCAGACUAGAGUGUGGUAGGGGAGACUGGAAUUCCUGGUGUAGCGGUGAAAUGCGCAGAUAUCAGGAGGAACACCGAUGGCGAAGGCAGGUCUCUGGGCCACUACUGACGCUGAGAAGCGAAAGCAUGGGGAGCGAACAGG
This 253-nucleotide ribosomal RNA is filed under the name uncultured bacterium. Its description in RNAcentral is "partial 16S ribosomal RNA". It matches the Rfam family "Bacterial small subunit ribosomal RNA", at positions 524 to 776 of the family's 1533-position model. The record is from RNAcentral.